This 4316-nucleotide long non-coding RNA is filed under the name Canis lupus familiaris (dog). RNAcentral's name for it is "lncRNA (ENSCAFG00845026503.1)". Lineage: Eukaryota; Metazoa; Chordata; Mammalia; Carnivora; Canidae. The record is from RNAcentral.
UUACACAUCUGAUUUUUUAAAUGCUUCUCCUAGCUACGUUAGAGCAAUCAGCAGCUGAAGAAGUGAGGUCUAGUGUGAAGAAUUAAACAAACAAAAACCUAUUAGGUUUCUUUUACAUUUACUCUAGCUUGUAACCUGCCGUCAUAUGCUCAACUAAUAAAUAAAUUAAUGAGCCUGAUACCGUGUGAAAUCUAGUGUAACGGAGACCUGCUUUUCCUUCUGGGAGCCCUCAUAUGAGAACAAAAAUUACCACACGUGGGAGGAAUGCAGUACGUGAAUACCAACGAUGGUGAUUACUGGAAAAGCUGACCUCCAGUUUCUGAUCAAGGCAUUUUAACAGGAAAAAGCCUACAUAAAAGUGUAAGGUGGAUAACAUUUGUGUUUUGAACAUCUGGCUUCGUUUUUUUACCAAUUUAUCUCCUCAAUCAAUCCUCUUACUCCCCAGACACCCUCAUUUCCUCUAUCAAUCAUCUUGAACCCAUCUCCACCUCUUCCCUUGGGACCUUGCUGCAUCCAUUCUCCUUCCUCAAGCAUAUUCAGUCUCCCCUUCCCACAGGCUUACAUCUUUCUGCCUGUGAACACAUUCGGAACACCUAUUUAAAACUGAAAAAUUAAGCAUUUACUGUUGUUGCCUCUUAUCCCUGUUACUCCCCAGAGUUGUAAACCUAGGAUUAAAAUAUUCCUUUGCAUAUCAACACACACAUACUGGCAGUCUCUUCUGAAACUCAGCUCGGCAGGGACUCAAUACACAACCAGGCCUUGGAAUUUUAGAUCUGAAAAGGCUCAUUAUUUCUGACCUUUAGCAUGGGGCUACUACCACUGGAAAAUUUUAGGUACCAGUAUGAGGUCCGAAGAAAUUCAAGUAUUAGGCAUCUUUUUUAAAAUUUAUCAUUUAACAUAUAGUGUGCUAGAAGUUUCAGAGGUAGAGUUCAGUGAUUCAUCAUAUAACAGUGCUCAUUACCUCAAGUGCCCUCCUAAAAGCCCAUCACCCAGUUACCCCAUCUCCCUACCCACCUCUUCAAAGGUAUUGGGCAUUUCUUAAUGCUCAAAGGCUUUCUAUAUUAAAGUGGAGCUAUUCACAGAGACCCUACCUCAUUUUCUAUAAAUUGGUAUACAAUCAACAAUGCUAUUUAUUUUAUAUCGUUUUUUAGAGUAGGUUCUACUUUUUUAAAAUGAAUAUAUAUAUAAGGAGAUUUAAUAUUACUACCAUAAUUGGGCAACUAAUAUAAUUUGCCACAAUUAGUAGGAAAGGCCACAGUUUCAUCUCUAUUAUCAUGAAAAGAAAUACAUAAAAUCCCUCAGCAUAUACCGCUGUCAAAUAUGCUAGAGUCAACACUUCUUCACCGUUAUUGUAAUGAUAGGUUAGGCCGUUUAUAUUUCUGUCACUAACGUUUUAAGGUGUAAACCUAGACUCCAACAUCUCAAUGUAAAUUGUAGUUAUUAACACAUUUAAAAACAUAUUUCCAAAUGCAUGCUCUUAAAUUUCAAAGUUUGAGAUUUUUAGGUUCGUGGGUUGUUUUCCAAACUGCUUUAUCCCAUAAUAGUUUUUUAGUGUCUCGGGAUCAUAAUGUAAUUUUAAAUGUUUAACAUUUUCACUGAUAGAAGGACAAUUUCUCUUUCUUCUGUCUCAUUGUUAGUGUAUAGAAAUGCAACUGAUUUCCGUGCAUUGAUUGUGUAACCUGCCACAUGUCGGGUUGCUGAGGCUAGGACUUCUAGUAGUAUGUUGAACAACAGUGGUGAGAGGGGGCAUCUCUGUCCUGUUCCUGACCUUAGGGGAAAAAGCUCUCAGUUUUUCCUCAUUGAGGAUGAUAUUUGCUGUGGGCUUUGUGUAGAUGGCUUUUAUAAUAUUGAAGUGUGUUUCCUCUAUCCAUACACCGUGGAGAGUUUAAUCAAGAAAGGAUGCUGCAUUUUGUCACACACUUUCUCUGCGUCAAUUGAGAGGAUCAUACGGUUCCUGUCCUUUCUUUUAAGGUGACAUAACAUGCUGAUUGAUUUGCAAAUGUUGAACCACUACAAUUUGAUGCUUAGAUUUGGAUUCUGACUUUACCACUUAUUAGCUUUGGAACCAGGUGCAAAUUACACAAUGUUUCCAAAACUCAGUCUCCUCCUCCAUAAACUAGAAUAAGUAACUACAUCAUAGGGUUGCCAUGAGGACUAAAUGAUAUAAAAACACCCAUAAAGCACUGAGCAAGCACAUGCCAUCCAAUAGCAUUACAGGUGUUCUCACAAUCCUCUUCUGGUCAUCAUAAUCAUCAUUUUAGGCUGGAGCUUUUAAGACCCUAAUUAUCUUCAGGGUUAGCCAUUUAAAGCUUACCUCAAUUUGAUUCAACUGCAGUGUUAGAAAUGGAACCUUACACAGAUUAAAAUAGCAAAACGCAAACAGUCCCUUCCAUUAUAGAAGUACCGGCUGGAAAUACUGAAAAUCUAGUAAGCAUUUACAAUAGUAUGAAAAAGUGCUAUGAUCUAAGAAAUAAAUGGCACUAUGGGAGCUGACGGUAAGAUAACCUGGCCAGAAGGAGCUGGACAGAGAAGUGCCAAGAUUUCAAGCUGAGGCAAGGAGGUAGCAGUUCUGUAGCAAAUAAGAGGUACAUUCAAGGCACUGAAAGUAGCUGAAUAUGAGCCGAGGAUGGCUUAAGAGGUGGGUGGAUGAGGAGUCUGCAGAGGCAAAGGGCACGAAAUUGGAGUCCUCUCUAGAAUACACGGCGGCAGGAGGUGGGUGGUGGGUCAGGCGAUUGGAAGCUGUGGAAAAAUUUUAAGCAGAGAACAGUGUGAUCAGAUUUGCAUGGAUGGAUGCACUGUGGAUGAAAUGGGAGUUCCUGGUAGAAGAACGUCUAUAGUAGGGAGGCCAGUUGAGCCUCUCAUCAAGAUGACCAACGUGUUGACUGGCACAGGAAGCUUGACGGGUAAAAAGUGGACUGAUUUUAUUUAGAAAGGAAAAAGGAGAGAACUCAUGAUUCACUUGUUGCACUGCAAGGACAAAAUUCAGAAUUACUUCCAGGGUUUUGAAAUUUAAUUGUGGGGAAGUUAUACAGUCUCCCAAGGUAGGGAACAUUGGAGGGUACUAGGGCAGGGAUGAGACAGGCAAGACAAGUCCAAGGGAAAUAAUGAAGGAGAACUUCAGAAAUACCGUAAGUGAGCUUCUGUACAUGCUGAGGAUACGAAGAGAAGAGAGGGUCUCUGCCGCCCACCAGCAUAUAGGCCAGGAUGAGGAUUCUCAACACUAAAUCAUUUAAAAACUCUUAGUGGAAUUUCCCUUGAUUUCUUUUGGUUUGCUGUAAACACUGAUACCCAGAACCUACUCUAUUUCAGAAUCUCAGGUGUUUUCACUGUGUAGCCAGAAUUACACCGCUGGGCAUUUUAGACUACAGGUACACCACUGGGCAUGUUAGACUACAGGUACAAUUCUGAUGUAGGUAAUUUCUGAAUUAUACUUUAGGAAACCCUAUUCAGAUGCAAGUUAUUUGUUCCAUUUUAAAUAAACCCCUUUUUUGAACAUGUAUUUUGAAACACACUCUAUAAUCAAUUCCAAUAUUUUUGAAGACUGUAUUUUUUAAAGAUUUUAUUUAUCUAUUUGAGAGAGAGAGAGUCAGCACAAAUGCCCCCAAGAGCAGGAGGGGCAGAGGGGCAGAGCAGGGAGCCUGAUGCGGGGCUUCAUCCCAGGACCCUGGGAUCAUGACCUGAGCCAAAGGCAGAUGCUUAACCAACUCAGCCACCCAAGUGCCCUGAAGACAGUACUUCUUAAUGUUAGAUUUUUCUCUUUGGAUCCAGAUUAUGUAGCUGUGCCUAGGAUAAUCAGGACCCACUAUUAGAACGAUUCCUACUAUAGGAGAUUCUAUUCCCUUUUAAGUCUUAUUAAUGAUAUCAAAUGUUUUAUAGAGUUGAAGAACAGAUUUUCCAUAAAUUGUAUUAUAGAACUUUGCCAAAUCACACUCAUCCUUAUGGCAAAUGAUACUGCUAGUUAGGAAAAUAAAACAAAAGGAAAUUGUAUUACUUGACAAUCCAGUUUCUGCACAUAUUUUAUUUAAUAACUGGUAUUCCUUAACAAAAAGCUAAUUAGGUUUUUAAAAAACUCAGUUAAUUGAUGACUAUUUCUUAUUGGUUUCAGACUAUCCAUCCUAAAGCACAGAAUCUCAAAAAAAUCUGACUGACACAAGGGGCCAUGUGAUACAUAGUAGAGACUCUAGGCUGCAGACUGCCUGAGUCCACAUCCCAGUUCCCCAACUUGGGCGUGUAUUAUCAUCUUUUUCUCUUCCUCGUCAGUCUAAUUUACACUACUGACCCAACAAAUAUUUGUAUAUGAACAUAAUGUCAUAGUU